RNAcentral lists this ribosomal RNA (450 nucleotides) under Petrolisthes galathinus (banded porcelain crab). RNAcentral's name for it is "partial 16S large subunit ribosomal RNA". It matches the Rfam family "Bacterial large subunit ribosomal RNA", at positions 1852 to 2548 of the family's 2925-position model. The record is from RNAcentral. Lineage: Eukaryota; Metazoa; Arthropoda; Malacostraca; Decapoda; Porcellanidae.
GUCUAUUCUGCCCAUUGAAUAAUAAGUUUAAAAGGCCGCAGUAUUCUGACUGUGCAAAGGUAGCAUAAUCAUUAGUUUUUUAAUUGAAGGCUUGUAUGAAUGAUUGGACAAGAAUUAAGCUGUCUCUUUCAAUAACACUUGAAUUUUAUUUUUAAGUGAAAAAGCUUAAAUAAUAAAGAAAGACGAUAAGACCCUAUAAAUCUUUAUGUAAAUUAGUUUUUAAGUUAAAAUAUAAGGUUAACUAGAUUUAAAGAAUUAAGUUCAUUGUGCUGGGGCGGUAGUGAUAAAAAAAAUUAACUGUCAUUAUAAGAAACAAAUAUUUUUGUAAAGUAAAAGAUCCUGAAAUUUGGAUUUAAAGUGAAAGUUACUUUAGGGAUAACAGCAUAAUUUCUUUUGAGAGUCCAAAUCGAAAAAGAAGCUUGUGACCUCGAUGUUGAAUUAAGAGAUCCU